AAUCUACCUCCGAGUGGGGAAUAACCAAGAGAAAUCUUGGCUAAUACCGCAUAACACUUACGAGUCAAAGCAGCAAUGCGCUUGGAGAGGAGUUCGCGGCAGAUUAGUUAGUUGGCGGGGUAAUGGCCCACCAAGACGAUGAUCUGUAUCCGGCCUGAGAGGGCGCACGGACACACUGGAACUGAAACACGGUCCAGACUCCUACGGGAGGCAGCAGUGGGGAAUUUUGCGCAAUGGGGGAAACCCUGACGCAGCAACGCCGCGUGGAG
Molecule: ribosomal RNA, 269 nt
Filed under: uncultured bacterium
Lineage: Bacteria
Description: partial 16S ribosomal RNA
Rfam family: Bacterial small subunit ribosomal RNA
Source: RNAcentral